RNAcentral lists this transfer RNA (86 nucleotides) under Lolium multiflorum (Italian ryegrass). RNAcentral describes it as "tRNA-Tyr". It matches the Rfam family "tRNA". From Rfam's summary of the family: Transfer RNA (tRNA) molecules are approximately 80 nucleotides in length. Their secondary structure includes four short double-helical elements and three loops (D, anti-codon, and T loops). Further hydrogen bonds mediate the characteristic L-shaped molecular structure. tRNAs have two regions of fundamental functional importance: the anti-codon, which is responsible for specific mRNA codon recognition, and the 3' end, to which the tRNAs corresponding amino acid is attached (by aminoacyl-tRNA synthetases). tRNAs cope with the degeneracy of the genetic code in two manners: having more than one tRNA (with a specific anti-codon) for a particular amino acid; and 'wobble' base-pairing, i.e. permitting non-standard base-pairing at the 3rd anti-codon position. The record is from RNAcentral. Lineage: Eukaryota; Viridiplantae; Streptophyta; Magnoliopsida; Poales; Poaceae. RNAcentral also lists the same sequence under 25 other names.
UGGGUCGAUGCCCGAGCGGUUAAUGGGGACGGACUGUAAAUUCGUUGACGAUAUGUCUACGCUGGUUCAAAUCCAGCUCGGCCCAA